Molecule: ribosomal RNA, 477 nt
Filed under: Paenibacillaceae bacterium CL6.21
Lineage: Bacteria; Bacillati; Bacillota; Bacilli; Caryophanales; Paenibacillaceae
Description: bacterial SSU rRNA
Rfam family: Bacterial small subunit ribosomal RNA
Source: RNAcentral
GCUCAGACGAACGCUGGCGGCGUGCCUAAUACAUGCAAGUCGAGCGGAGCACUUCGGUGCUUAGCGGCGGACGGGUGAGUAACACGUAGGCAACCUGCCUAUAAGACUGGGAUAACUAUCGGAAACGAUAGCUAAGACCGGAUAACUGGUUUUCUCGCAUGAGAGAAUCAUGAAACACGGAGCAAUCUGUGGCUUAUAGAUGGGCCUGCGGCGCAUUAGCUAGUUGGUAGGGUAACGGCCUACCAAGGCGACGAUGCGUAGCCGACCUGAGAGGGUGAACGGCCACACUGGGACUGAGACACGGCCCAGACUCCUACGGGAGGCAGCAGUAGGGAAUCUUCCGCAAUGGACGCAAGUCUGACGGAGCAACGCCGCGUGAGUGAUGAAGGUUUUCGGAUCGUAAAGCUCUGUUGCCCUAGACGAAUAGCAAGGYGAGUAACUGCRCUUUGUGUGACGGUAUAGGAGAAGAAAGCCCCG